Molecule: ribosomal RNA, 507 nt
Filed under: uncultured archaeon
Lineage: Archaea
Description: bacterial SSU rRNA
Rfam family: Archaeal small subunit ribosomal RNA
Source: RNAcentral
GCAGUGUGAGAAAUCGCGACGGGGGGAUCCCAAGUGCCAUUCUUAACGGGAUGGCUUUUCAUUAGUGUAAAAAGCUUUUGGAAUAAGAGCUGGGCAAGACCGGUGCCAGCCGCCGCGGUAACACCGGCAGCUCUAGUGGUAGCAAUUUUUAUUGGGCCUAAAGCGUCCGUAGCCGGUUUAAUAAGUCUCUGGUGAAAUCCUGUAGCUUAACUGUGGGAAUUGCUGGAGAUACUAUUAGACUUGAGACCGGGAGAGGUUAGAGGUACUCCCAGGGUAGAGGUGAAAUUCUGUAAUCCUGGGAGGACCGCCUGUUGCGAAGGCGUCUAACUGGAACGGUUCUGACGGUGAGGGACGAAAGUUAGGGGCGCGAACCGGAUUAGAUACCCGGGUAGUCCUAACCGUAAACGAUGCGGACUUGGUGUUGGGGUGGCUUUGAGCUGCUUCAGUGCCGAAGGGAAGCUGUUAAGUCCGCCGCCUGGGAAGUACGGUCGCAAGACUGAAACUUAA